AGUAGGCAAGGGGACGGUGUGCCUCUGACUGAACAUAGACUGAACGAAAGCUCUACCAUACUGGUUCUGCCUCCAACCAUGGCAAAAAUCAUCUUGAGACACCUCAUAGAGACCCCAGUGCGCUACGAGGAGGAGUUUGAAGCUCGAGGUUUGGAAGACUGCAGGUUGGAUCAUGCUUUAUACGCCCUGCCGGGGCCAACCACUGUGGACCUGAGAAGAGCCAGGGCAGCCCAGGUUCCUCCGGUGGACUCGGUGGCAGAGAUGCCAACCCAAGAAGGCAAAUCCCGCUUCCAGAUCCUGCUGGAUGUGGUCCAGUUCCUGCCCGAAGAUAUCAUCAUUCAGACCUUCGAAGGCUGGCUGCUGAUCAAGGCUCAGCACGGAACCAGAAUGGAUGAGCAUGGUUUUAUCUCAAGAAGCUUCACCCGACAGCUCCCCAGGAAGUAAAAUUGUUACCAUGGGGAGCCACUGAUAGAAACUUUUCCUUUAAAAAUAAACACUAAAGUAGCCACAUCAUCCAAUUAGCAUUUUUUUCUGAGAUAAAAUUUAAAGUAUUACACAACCAUUUUUUGGUUUGGAAAAUAUACAAAACACUAUAAAAAAUUUUAAAAAAAUUUAUUAUUCUUUUAUUACUAUGAGGUUGCUACUUUAAACUUCUAGUCCAGUCUUCCCUUACAUAUAAAAACAUGUAUCACUUUUCAUGAAAUUAGGAUAAUAUUUGCAUCAGAGUUUGAUAGGCCAAUAGUACUGGUUACUGUCCAUUGUCUGCCUCACUUCGUGCCAACCCAAACCCAUGCUUCGCCCUUGUCAGCCCAACUCUGAGCCCAAGCAGGCUGACCCCCCUGGGCUGACAUCAUUCUAGUUUCCCACUGGAUUCUGACUAUGGGAAUGCCAAGGGGAGACCAGAGAUUGGAGAGAGAACACUGGUGGGCAGGAGGGGAGAAAGGUCAGGGCAUUUCCUUCUGUCAACCUGCUGUAGACGAGGCGCUGGCAGGCCUGUGUCCCUCCAGGACUACACCUCUGGAGAGGUGGCCCCUCCUCUAGAGCUCCUACUUGUACUGGGCUCGGGUGUUCUGAUGGUUUCUUCCUUUUGUCCUGUCAGCAGUUGGGGUGGUGAUGUUUUCUAUCCUUUUUUGUCCCUGGUGCUUCACCAUCCUUUAUCGAUUCCUUUGACUUGGCUUUGUCAUAAAUGGUCCCUUCAUUAAAGUCCUUUUCAGGUGAUGGGAUUCUGUUUCUCUCCAGAGCUCUGACUGCUUGACUUCUUAAGUGAUUAAAAAAAAGGGGGGGGGGGGGGGGGGGAACAUCACUUGCUUUUAUUACCAAACAUUAAGAUUUGUAAUGGCUAUGCACUCUUCCAACACAGAUAACCAUGGUAUAAUUUAACCAUUCCUUUUCACUACUGGUCCCAGCAGGAAACAGAUAGCAAUGUCAAAAUUAGAAAAAUUCAAAUUGGAAUAGUUUAUUUAUAAAGAGAGACAUUCCAAAGGAGUGGGCAGGGUGAAGAACUGCUGCAAGAGAUAGUCUAUAACCUGAAGGUAGCAGUGUGGAGCUGUUCUGGUUCCCUAGGUCCAAAGAGAUGAGAGGAUGAAGCAAGUCUCAGAAAUCAAGCAAGUCAGAUGGAGGAGUCCACCAGCUGUGACUUUCUUGUGACAGCCCCAGGUGACGCCUUAGUGGUGCCAGGAGAAUAAAUACUUUAUCCCUCUAAUCUCCUCCCAGGGCAACCCCCUUGCCAGACUUAAGUGGUAGCCCGAGGGCAUGGACACCUUGUUGAUACCGAUCCACAGCCUCCCACAGUGGGGGGCAGGGUGGAAAAAAACAUGAAGAGUGACUCCUGGGGACAAGAGGAAAAUACCCAACAUUCCUGUAAAGGGAGUACUGUUGUUACAGCUCUUUAAAAAAAAAAAAAAAAACUUUCCUACAAAAUACAGCCUGAAACAAGUGCUGAGACUUUAUUUGGGAAGUGCAAGCACAGAAUGGUAAAAGUGAGAAAAUAGGGGGAAAGAGGUGAGAAAAAAUGGGAAGCAAAGUGAAGUGAUGUGUUACCAUGCUGGCCAACACUUCACAGUGAGCUAUGAAGAGACUUAGCCAGCUCUUGGCGAGGAUGUUGGCUUAGCACCUGGAACUUCUCCAGAAGAGUUUUGGGAAGAAAUAAAAUCUUAAAGCAAUCCACAGGGAAGAAAAAAGAGGGAAGUUGCUUGCCUGGUCCCUACUAUUUCCUGUUUCCCUUUAGUUAAGAUUUAGCUCACAUGGAAUAGACUGUCCUGCACUUCUGGGGUGUAUCAUCCAAACUCUUAGUGGCUGCUGGGAACACCAGACUCCAGACCCCACAGUGUGACAUUUCAUCCAUGCUGGGAGCAGAAGGAGACUCAGCAUGGUUAGGGCUCACUCAGGGUGAGAAACACGGGCUCAGGGUUUCACCUUGGCCUCCAGCCACCUUAGGAAAAUUGGCAGCAGCUCUGAUGGCAGGAGCAUGGUCUGUGAGGCAGGUGAUACCCUCAGAAAAAAGAAGGCAGAUGGAAGGCACACACGGUUAUGUAUCCACCACAACCCCAAAUCCAAAACUGCGGGGGGGGGGGGGGGGGCGGGGAGGGGAACCAAGCAAAUCACUCAGCUUUAUGGCAUCUAUUGUGUAUGUACCCCCAGACUGCCUUCAAAUUUUAUGGACUCUCACAUCACCUUAUAUUUUAAUCUUAUUUUUUUAUUGGCUUAAGUGCAAAGUCAGUUCUCUUAAACUUCUUUGGGAUUUUUCUUUUCCUGUAGAUUGUGGAUCAAAGGUUUAGUUUUGUUUUAAAUUGCCUAACUCUUAUCCUGGAAGCCCAGAAGUCACUGUGAUGUGGGAAACAAAGGUAGAAGAAAAAUUAUUAAAUUUCCUCACUACUUACAGCCCACUGCCAAGUCCUUGAAACAGGCAGAGUGACCUUCCUCUAGAACUCAGCUGCCUCAAUGUUAAUACUUCGCUAAGGGCAAAAGGCAAUCUUAGCCCGACCUUCUGGGAACCUGUAGGUCUACUUUUACAUGUAAAAAUUCCUUUGGGAACUUCCUUUAUCUCUAUUCCCCAAGAUACGCACUGGUGAUCAUCCCCUAAGCAUAUGACCCACUGAUAUACAUCUGAAGGGUCUCAUCACUAAGGUUUUAUUAGACAGUAAUAAAUGUCUAAUAAAAUAGCUAGCCUCCUCAAGGUCCUGGAAACCUUGCUUCCAAAAUUCCUUAGAGACUUAUGCUCUCCUUAACCCCCUCCCAACUUGAAAGUGUAUAAUGGGCCACUCCUCAUGCUCCCAGGGCAGCUCUGUCUGCUCAUGGCUCCUGUCCUUGUGUUUAAUAAAAGCACCUUUGUGCACCACAGAUUUCUCUAGAAUCCUUCCUUGGCCGUUGGGCUUCAAACCCUAACAGUCUUCCCUACAUCAGUUGAAGACUUUGGUUCCUAUGAGCCUCCCUGAGUCCAAGCUGCCCUGGGAUCCUGAACGUGCUCUUGCCUUCUUCUCACCUACUUGGGAUUGUCUGAAAAUUGCUGUUAGUGGUCCUUAGCACUACAAAAAGUGAUUUAAAGAAACACGAAUGGCAUACAACAUCAAGGGGAAAUGAUCAGAACACCUCAUAUCAUUUCCUCAAGCUUAACAAAAAUCUCUUUUUCACUAGUCACCACGGUUCUCUUCAGAGAUUCUCAAACAAUGAGUAAGAAAGAAUAAAAAUGUUCAUUUGGUAUGCAAAUUUACAGCUCACAUACUACAUUUUGAAAAUAAGUCUUUGUCUUAGAAAUUGAGUUGGCCAGAUGUCCCCCAUCAAAAUGUGAGACAGCAUUUUUAAUUUGAAAAACAAAUGAUUUUAAGUAAAUGUUUUUUUCUACCUUUCCUCAGUGUUGUUUCAUACACAAGAGCAUGCAUGUACAUAUACUAAUAUAAAAUCCUGUUUAUUAAUGUCUUCUAACUUUAAGGACAAAUACAGUGAAAAUCUAUUGUAGUAAAAUAAAAUGGCCUAUAUGAC
This 3978-nucleotide long non-coding RNA is filed under the name Canis lupus familiaris (dog). Its description in RNAcentral is "lncRNA (ENSCAFG00845011654.1)". Lineage: Eukaryota; Metazoa; Chordata; Mammalia; Carnivora; Canidae. The record is from RNAcentral.